GCCCGGAUAGCUCAGUCGGUAGAGCAUGAGACUUUUAAUCUGAGGGUCCAGGGUUCAAAUCCCUGUUCGCGCG
This 73-nucleotide transfer RNA is filed under the name Danio rerio (zebrafish). It matches the Rfam family "tRNA". Rfam says of the family: Transfer RNA (tRNA) molecules are approximately 80 nucleotides in length. Their secondary structure includes four short double-helical elements and three loops (D, anti-codon, and T loops). Lineage: Eukaryota; Metazoa; Chordata; Actinopteri; Cypriniformes; Danionidae. The record is from Rfam by way of RNAcentral.